CACAUGGAAAUACAUGAGUUCCAUUUGUGAAAGUCAUCUUAUAUAGAUGAGAGGUUGGACGGAAUUGGCCACUGGCAUAAUUGAGAGCAAAGAUCUCAAUGAAAACCCAAUGACCAACAGAUAACACCAACUCUAGAGUUUCACCAGUGCUGGCUGUGUACUGCCGCCAGGAGUGAAGUACCUUCACUUGGACUCUCCAUUGUGUGGUGUAUGGCCUGACAUCUUUGAGAUUGCCUUGGCGAAAAUAAAGGAACAACGGAGAUUGCAUUUGGCGAAAAUAUACUUAAGGUAUGAGAGAUGUUAUUUGAAUUGAUUUUGGUAAAAAUAAGUAGAAGAAUUAAAGACAACAUGGCUUUAUUUAUUAGUUUGAAAUUAAUACAACAUCCCUUAAAUCUCUUAUUCUAGAUCCGAACAGAAUUAAACCGGGUCAAACCCGGAUCCAAAAGAAUUAAAGCAAAAAAGUACUG
Molecule: long non-coding RNA, 467 nt
Organism: Arabidopsis lyrata subsp. lyrata
Lineage: Eukaryota; Viridiplantae; Streptophyta; Magnoliopsida; Brassicales; Brassicaceae
Exons: 3
Source: RefSeq, a predicted model, not a curated record